CCACCAGUCCCGCAGAUGGCCGCCGCAGACACUCGAGAGGGGGGCUCGGAGCCGGACUCCCAAUCGGAAGAGGCGCCCCCCGGCGAGAGGGUGGACGAAGAACAGGGGGGCGCCACGCCGAGUGCCGAAGACGCGGAGGCGGCGGCGGCGAAGAAACCGCGGCGCUUCUCCUUCCUCCACCUGCACAUCGGCGAGCGGCCCUUCGGAAUCGGGGGCGCCCACGCGGCCGCGUCGGCGCCCACCCCCGUGGGCUCCCGCCACCGGCACCGCCGCUGGAGCGAGGCCGUCUUCUCCGUCGUCUCCUCGCACCUGCCCACCUUCACCUUCACCGGGGCCGACGACGACUCCGUCUCCACCUCGCACUCCCUCGGCAACCACCGGAGGUUCAGUUUCGCCAACCUGCGCAAGUUCUCAGGAACGGUCAGUCUUUCCAGCAAUUUGUAUGGAAGUGAUUCGAUGGUGUCCCUCUGCUAUCGUUCUCUCACAAAUUACAUCGCGGAAGACAGACUCGAUGACUUCAAGCGCUUCAUUGAAAGCAAAAGUGUCAACGUUAAUGAUCGAGAUGAGAAUGAAGCAACAGCUUUACACUACGCUGCAUCUACAGGGAAGUCAGCUUUUGUGAGAGAGUUGAUCAGUCAUGGAGCUGAUGUCAAUGCAGCUGACAAUGAUAACUGGACUCCCCUUCACUGUGCGGCAAAAGAGGGUUACAAAGAUAUUGUUACUGAGCUCCUGGAACAUGGUGCGAAGGUUGAUGAUCGGGACAUGGGAGGAUGGACCCCUCUCAUGUGGGCAUCCUACAAAGGUCAUUAUGACACGGUUGUUAUUCUGUUGGAAAGAAACGCUGACGUGAAUGCCCACGGUAACUACCACAUCUCAUCACUCCUCUGGGCUGCUGGGCGAGGUCACACUGAUAUAGCAAAGCUCCUUUUAAAAAGAGGCGCAAAAGUCAAUGUCGGUGACAAAUAUGGUACAACAGCUCUUGUUUGGGCCAGUAGAAAAGGCAAUGUUGAUAUUGUAUCAGAACUAAUGAAAUAUGGCGCAAAUGUGGAUACUGCUGGAAUGUACUCAUGGACUCCUUUACUCGUAGCAACAAUGAACAAUCACGUCGAAGUAGUCGCUCAGUUACUUCAAGGAAAACCGAACAUUAAUGCCCUUGACAAGGAUGGUUGUACUGCAUUAACAAUAGCAUGUAAAGAAGGUUUCCAUGCAAUAGCUUCUGCUUUAAUAAAUGCUGGUGCUUACAUUAAUAUUCAGGACAGGGGUGGCGAUACAAACUUAAUUCAUGCUGUGAAGGGCAAUCACCGCAGUAUCGUUGAAUCUUUGUUGAAGAAGUACGCAGAUGUUGAUACUCCUGGCAAAGAUAGGAAAACAGCUGUCUACACAGCAGUCGAGAAAGGAAACAUAGGAAUUUUGAAAAUGCUAUUGGGUGCUAAUCCGGACUUAGAAAUUGCCACCAAGGAUGGUGAUACUCCAUUAUUAAGGGCUGUAAGAAUUAGAAAUGCUGAGUGCGUUCAACUGCUGUUGGAAAAAAAAGCCAAAGUAACAGCUUGUGAUAAAAGAGGAGAUACUGCAUUGCAUAUAGCCAUGAGAGCAAGAUCCAAAACUAUUGUUGAAAUAUUGCUAAGGAAUCCUAGAAAUAGUCAAUUACUAUAUCGGCCCAACAAAGCGGGAGAAACACCUUAUAAUAUAGAUAUGAAUCAUCAAAGGACAAUUCUAGGGCAAAUAUUUGGUUCUCGUCGUUUAAAUACAAAUGAGGACAAUGAAAAUUUAUUAGGUUAUGAUUUGUAUUCAAGUGCUCUUGCCGAUAUGUUAAGUGAACCUAGUUUAUCAAUGCCUAUCACCGUCGGUCUUUAUGCGAAAUGGGGUAGUGGCAAAUCUUUCUUACUGAGUAAACUUAGAGAGGAAAUGUUAAAUUUUGCCAGACAGUGGGUAGAACCUGUCUCUGAGUUUUCAUGGCUGUGUCUAGUUCUCAUCACUCAUGCUGCCAUUGCAUCUGGCGUUUGUAUAGGAGUUAUGUUUCAAUCCUGGGUGUAUGGUCUCGCUACGGUUGUUACAAUAGUGUUUGUCACUUAUGUCUUCCUUGUUUUUGUUGGAAGUGGUGCUAUUAGGUUAGAUUGGCUGUGGCCUUAUAAUGUUAAUGUUUUUUUAACUAAGAAAAUGAAUUCCUUGUUGCUCAUUUUACAAGUCAUAUUCUGUCACCCUCCUGGAUCACAAAAUGUAGAUGAUAGCAUCACUGCUCAACCUGUAAAAUUUUAUUUUACUGAUCAAACUCGAAUCAGUAGCACUGCUCAAGGUGAAAAUACUCUAGUUCAAAUGAUUGGAUCUUUAUACGAUUCGAUCGAAAAGGAUUAUGGAUCAAUUUCCACUAGGUUGUACAGAGCAUUUCGACCAAAACCUUUUAAAUCCACAUCAUCUUGGAAAUGGAGGAGACUUUGCUGCGCUCCUAAUAUUAUAGUUUUUGAAGCUUGUAUCUUCUGUUUUUUGCUUGGUGGCUCGGUGUUUACAGUCUAUUUGAUGGAAAAAGAAUUAACCGAGCAAGGCAGAAGUAUUGAUAAAUUUGUUUCCCAAGUGAUAAUGGGUUUGUGCAUCACAUUUCUGGCUCUUGGAAUUGUCUCAAAUUUGUACACGUGGAGUCGUGUCAUGCAAUCAUUAGUAUUUUCUCUCAGAAGGCAACUACAGAGGUCUAUAUCCAAACUUGAGUCUCUAAAAUCCGAAGGCUUCCUGCAAGUUUUAAGGUCUGAAGUUUAUCUGAUGACUGAUCUUGUUAAAUGUUUGGAUAGUUUCACUCAGCAGCAAACCCGAUUGGUGAUCGUCGUUGAUGGUCUAGAUAGCUGCGAGCAAGACAAAGUAUUGAUGAUUUUAGAUGCUGUCCAUGUCCUUUUCUCUGACCCAAAUCAUCCUUUCAUUAUUAUACUUGCGAUAGACCCUCAUAUUAUCUCUAAGGCUGUUGAAAGCAGUAGUAAACGACUGUUUAAUGAGUCAAACAUUGGGGGCCAUGAGUAUUUGCGGAACAUGGUUCAUUUGCCAUUUUAUCUACAAAAUUCUGGUUUGAGGAAAGUAAAAAGUGCCCAAAAAGCAGCAAUGUAUCACAGGAAAAGUGUAACAACGGGUCCAUAUGAAGAACAAGGAAACCUAGUACGCUCUAUUUCCACAAGGCGGUUAUCAACUGAAUCAGGAAUGAGCAGUUGUGAAAAAUUGAAACUUCCCAGUUCAUCAGUUUCAAGGGGCAAAAAUUCCCGUGGUGGUAAGCUGAAAUUGAGUGAAAGUAUUGCAAGCAGUAUCGGUAGUAACAUCAAUCGAGUUGGAGGUGCACAAGAUCUAACAAGGAUGUUGCUGACAGAUGAUUAUUUCUCCGACGUCAAUCCCAGAAGCAUGAGAAGAUUGAUGAAUGUUGUUUAUGUGACAGGUCGGCUCAUGAAAGCAUUUCACUUGGAUUUCAAUUGGUAUCAUUUAGCCAGUUGGAUUAACAUCACAGAGCAAUGGCCUUGCCGAACCUCAUGGUUAAUACUGUAUCAUGAAUUCUGUGAAGACCUAGACGAUAACAUGAGUCUCAAAAGUUUAUAUGACAAAGUGAGACCUCAAAUACCCGUUUGCAAGGAAAUGGAAUCACUCGUUGAACUGGACCGGGAUGAGAAAAAAUUUGAUGUCUUCCUUACGUUUCAUCGAAAUUCUCUCUUAGUUGGUGAUCUUCGAAUUUUUCUUCCAUUCACAAUUAAUUUAGAUCCUUUCAUAAAAAAAGUGAUCAAAGGAAUAAAAGAAGAUCAACAAUAUUUUGCAGAAGCAAACUUAUUAGCAUCUGGUUCUGGCUCCAGACCAACUGUUCCUCCUGGUGUCAUAAGUCCAUGGGUACCACCCGAAGGACAAGCCUCUGCUGACGUAACAAGUUGGAGCCCUCAAAGGAAAACCAAUCUCUUUCGUAGACAGAAGUCUCUUUCAUUUACCUCUACAUCAGCACCAACUGCAGCUCCACCUGUUGUGUACCCUCCUUCCAUUGCUCAUGACCAGUGGCUAAAUAACUCAAGAUUCACAAUAAUGAAGCCCGUGGAUUAUAACAUGCCUGUUUCUGUCCUUCCUUCUGAGUUAUCAACUGUGAAGCUAUCAACAUUGAAUGUGGAUGCGGUUUGCAAUCUAUUAAAAAACAUGGAAGAGAUUCAACCAUCUCAGUUACCCCAGUACCUUCAAGUUAUACAACAAAACAACAUUAAUGGUCGAGUUUUGCUUCACUGUGACCUGGAUGAGCUGAAAAAGAUUCUAUCAAUGAAUUUCGGUGACUGGGAAUUAUUUAAAAUCACUAUCGUUUCAUUACGGGCGCAAGAAAUGACAUUAGUUUCCCAACAAGAUGAGCUUCCCGGCAGAAAUGUUAGGUUUAACAAUAAUCCCUCAAAUCGAUCUCAACAAACUCAACCGGAGCGAAGAGCCAGUAAUCCUAAUUGUAAACCAAACAAUGGCUCCAGUGGAAGUAGUAAUCCAACAAGUCAAUCUGAUAGGGCAAACAAACAAUCAGUAAUGGAAAAGCAGGUAACACUUGAGGAGCAGAUGAUUUGUGGAGCACUGCAGACAUUGAAUGAAGAAGCGUGUGAGGAUGUCUUGGAAGAGGCAGAUGAGCAAGUUAUAGCAUCACUACAAGUGCCAUCUUAUGAUCAGUCAGGUACCAGCUCAGAUUCCGAGAAUAGCUAUUCGAACAACCAAUCUUUGUCCGUCAAUGAAACAGACUGCUUGAUCGAACUGGAAGCUCCAACAAAUCCUUGUGUCACCUCUGCCAGUAGUGCAUGUCCAUCAGUCUCAUCUAGCAAGCAUGCCAGUUCAAACAAGACCUUGCCUCCUCUUGCUGAUUUGAACUCUGUUGAAGCUGCUUUUCCGCAUGAUGUUGCUUUAUAAUUUCUUAUACUAUUAUUAUACCACCUCUUUGAAUCGGUCGUUUGUCUUGUUUUGAUGUGUGAUUUUUAUUUCUUGCCACAGUACACUGCAUGAAAUUGCUUCAAGUUUAGUGCCUCUUUUUUAUGUAUUUUAGUAUUAAGUUUAGGUUAGUCAAGCAUGGCUCACAGUCAAUCUGUAGAAUACGCAAGUACCUCUUUGAAAUCAAAAUAGUGAAAAAUUGAAGACACCAAUGGUGUGGCGUUUAGCGCAAUGAAUCGAUUAAUGUGCCGUUUAAACCUAUGGGAUAGAAUCAAUUAUCAGAGUGUCAGCAACAAACAUCUUAAUAAUUGAUUCUUUACAUUAGAUUCAAAUGAGAAAUUAUCGAUGAUGGUCAAUGAUUCCAUUUACACUUCACCAUGUGAUAAUGAAAAAAAAAAAAAACAAGUGAUGCUCAGUCCAUUUUAUCCAAGUAAAUUUUAUCUCUGUCUUUUCAAUGUGAAUAACCCUGCUAAAUUUGUUGCAGACCGCAUCAUUAUUCUUAUAGAUAUCAAGGUGGUGCAAAACCAGAUUUUGCUUUCAAAAAGUAUGGAUGGAAAUCAUUUGAAAGUUUAAAAAAUGUUUUUAUAAACUAAGGCUGAUAUUUAAGUUUCUUUUGAGAAUGAUUAUAAACUCACUGUACAAAAAUCCUGAGAUUGGAUCUAAGCUGCGAACAGAAAGUUCUAAUACCUGAAAAUACUUCUAACAAAACUUAUCAAGUGGGAAACUAAAAUCUUGAUUCUCAAUCAAAAUUUGUUUUGAGGAAAAAGCUGUGCUUUCAGCCUAAUGAGUUAACUUCAUUAUCUAUUUUUCUACAUUUUCUGCUUUGCUCUUUCAUGGGUGGCAAAAUUGGUAAAAAGUUACCUCAUUCUGUGAGCUACAAUCUUUCUGGGCUACAAUGAAGCAGAGACAGCCACUUGUAUAGUAAAUUUCUCAAAGCACUUCUAAGCAUUCCUCAAGCAAAGCCCAUGCAAGUUUGUUGUUUCAGUCAUCUUAUACAGUGCCAAAAGUUCUUAUUUAAGCCGUGUUAAUUUUAGUAAAAUAGUACCUUCAAAUUUUUACUGCUGUUUUUUUCGAAAUACGGAUUCCCCAGUUUUUUGGUGCUCUAUAACAUACAUUUUCACUGAUUUUAAAAUUUAUUUGGGUAAAUCUGUGGCAUAAUAUAUCUAAUUUCGUGUGUCGUUUUAUGUCAUCAAUUAGGUAAUUUUCAAUCUUUAGGAUGUACUUUAGGAUUCCUUUCAUAGUUAGGGUGAAAUAUGUAUCUGCUGUCUUGCAAAGUCUUAUUUUAGAGCAUGCAAUGUGGUUGAACAUCCAAUUAUUUAGCGUAUUUUGUAUGUUUCUCUAUGGUAGAAAUUCCCUCCUUUCUAAUGAGACUGAUUUAAUUUUAACGUAAAGUUGAAAAUGAUUUUUCGAUGCAAGUCAUGCAGUUUUUGUUUUCAGAUGCAUCAUGUGCCAUUAUAGAAGAUAGGUAUUCUUAGAAUUUGUGUUUUUGGCUUGUUAUGUUUUGUGAAACAUCACUUACUUCUUUCUAUAAAGGAUCUGAUCCAAAAAAAGGUCCAGUAAUAUAAUUUAACUGCAAAAAAAUAAAUUUAAUUCUUCAGAAAUAAAAAAAGAAACAAAGAAAUUACAUUGGCUUGACUGUAACAUCGUAUUUCUUGAUCCCACUUUUUUUUCUUCUUCCCCCUGAGCAAUUCUUUUUUAAGAAUCUUUAUUGUGAUAUUCUUUCAAGAAUUUUAAGAAGCUGUGUUUUUAUAAAUAUAUAUCUUUUUUGUUGA
Bemisia tabaci is the source of this 6668-nucleotide non-coding RNA. NCBI's taxonomy places the organism in Eukaryota, Metazoa, Arthropoda, Insecta, Hemiptera, Aleyrodidae. The record is from RefSeq and is a predicted model, not a curated record.